RNAcentral lists this ribosomal RNA (496 nucleotides) under uncultured bacterium. RNAcentral's name for it is "partial 16S ribosomal RNA". It matches the Rfam family "Bacterial small subunit ribosomal RNA", at positions 29 to 507 of the family's 1533-position model. The record is from RNAcentral.
AUGAACGCUGGCGGCGUGCCUAAUACAUGCAAGUCGCGCGAACAGACGAGGAGCUUGCUCCUCUGACGUUAGCGGCGGACGGGUGAGUAACACGUGGAUAACCUACCUAUAAGACUGGGAUAACUUCGGGAAACCGGAGCUAAUACCGGAUAACAUGUUGAACCGCAUGGUUCAACAGUGAAAGACGGUCUUGCUGUCACUUAUAGAUGGAUCCGCGCCGCAUUAGCUAGUUGGUAAGGUAACGGCUUACCAAGGCAACGAUGCGUAGCCGACCUGAGAGGGUGAUUGGCCACACUGGAACUGAGACACGGUCCAGACUCCUACGGGAGGCAGCAGUAGGGAAUCUUCGGCAAUGGGCGAAAGCCUGACGGAGCAACGCCGCGUGAGUGAAGAAGGUCUUCGGAUCGUAAAACUCUGUUAUCAGGGAAGAACAAAUGUGUAAGUAACUAUGCACGUCUUGACGGUACCUAAUCAGAAAGCCACGGCUAACUACGUG